CCAAAACCAAAGCCAAACAGUUUAAAAGAAUCUAGAGAGUCCUAGAAAAUACAACCUCUCAAAACUCAAUGCCAAAACUUAAAUAAAACAGUAAAACAAAAUUAAAUAGUAAUAGGAAGUGGUCACUAUCGAGUCCUCCGCUGCACCGAUCCGUCUAACUCUAUGGAUUACCUGUACAGAACAAAUAGAGAAGGGGUGAGUUUACGUAAACCUUAGUGUGUAACCCGCAGAAUUAGACAUGUACACAUACAAAAAUUCAAAACCAUACAAACAUAGAUUCGGGCCUAAGCCCAUUUUAGAUUCAGACAUGGAUGUGCAAAUCAGAAUCAGAAAUUAGAUUUCUACCCCUAUCCUCUACACACCAUAUCCGUCCAUCCCUACACACCAUGUGGGAUUUGAAAUACCCACCCAGCCCUACAUAUCAUAUUUUACCGAUGCGGUACAUAACAGAUAUGAUGUAGCAAUGCUGCUAGAUAAUAGCCAUAAAUUGCCUUUCUGUAGCACCCCAAACCCGGCCCAGAAGUUAUGGCCGGAUCCGGCAUGCCACAUCAAAAACGUUAAAAAAAAAUUUCCAUUCUAAGUCCAGAAAGUCGUACUUGAUGUUCAAAAGAUUAAUUCAUUAAGGAUUAAAGUGAAUGGAAGCUGUGCACCAGGUAGGAAACUGGAAAAGAGGUGGUGAGUCCAUCGGACUGCUUAAGUACCAAGCUCCCUUCGGAUCCAAUCCUAGACAUGCAUACCGCCAUUGCCACACCUUAACGUCAUGGAUAUUUCUAGGAAACCGAUUUGAUUAAGUCAUUUUUAGGAAAAGUGAUUAAUUUUGGAAAAUACUUUCAUUGCGGAAGCUUUGCUUGUUGUCGUGUUAUUUUGAAAUAAACUAUUGUUUUUGAAAACGUGCCCUAAAGCUAUCCAAUUUCAACAGUUAAAAUAAGUAUUACCUAUCUUAGUAAUACAUAUUAAAACCAUAAAAAAUAGUUAAGCGGCCUUAUUACAUUUAAAAACCCAAAACUUCAAUCGUAAAUAAAAGGAUGUCCAGUUCACCAGAAGAAAAUCAAACUUUCAGAACGAGUGGCCACUCCGAAUUCUCUCACAGCUCCAAGCCCACUAUGGUUGGGGAUUUCCUGCGUGGAUGAAAAUAAAAGGGGUGAGUUUGGGGAAACUCAGUGUGUAAAUUAACCCAACCAUAGCCUAUAUCAGCUCAAACCACAGAAAUAGAAUAAGUUGGCCUUAGCCCAGAACAGAAUUCAGAAUAAAGCCCAUAGGCCCAUAACAGAACAGAACAGAUAUUACAUGUUUAUGCAGAAACCCAACCAUAUCCAACCGUAUACACCCCCGUACCAACCUUACACCAUGUGGGGAGACAACUCGACCCACCCAACCGCUACACACCACAGAAUUUGUAGCAUGGCUGCCAGAACAGAUAAUGUGACAGAGUCACCAGAUACAGAUAAUCGUGGCAAAGCCACCAGAACAGAUAUAUGUGGCAGAGCCACCAGAUCAGAUAUUUGUGGCAGAGCCACCAGAUCAGAUAUUUGUGGCAUAGACACCAGAACGCUUCCUCCAUAAUAUAACCCAUGUCCCCAUGCAACAGAUAUAUAAUCAUGGCAUACAUCAUACAGAAUCAGAUCGUCAUGCUUUUCAGUCAAAAUUAACCCUAGGGGUAUAACGGUAAUUUUGCACCUAGGGGUAUAACAGUAAUUUUCCAUACAUAGGGGUAUUAUAGUAAUUUAGCUACUUUUAGGGUUUUCAUGCAUAUCCUAACUAUUUAUGUACUAUCAGAACACUUACCGCGCAUACUUACCGAAUUGGGCCCGUUGGCCUAUGAACCCGAUCUUUUGCCCAUUAAGCCCAAAUUAUCAAAAUGUACGAAAUCGCGCGUACUGCAGUUUAUUACUUUAGAUUACCAAAUAUACAAACCCAACUAUCUUACAAGCAUUCGCACACUCGCAAAUUCCCAAAAUACCGACUUUUCGGCAUUUCGGCUUUUCGGCUUUUGCCAAUCUAGUCUAUGAGAGGGUGUCAGUUACACACCUAUUUGCGACGAUAUGCUGACGAGAUCCACACACGAACCGCCUACAAUUGGAUUACUAACACGUUAAUCUAACUAUUCAAAUACAAACUACGUAUUAACCCCUUACAAUAUUCGGCCAACCACACCUACAGAUCAUAGUAAGCUUAUAAGAAAUCAAUAAGCAACUCAUUAACAAAUUUUGUCAAUGUUUACCACAUAAUCAUAAUUUCACUGCAAGCUGUCUUCCUGAGCAACAGUCACUAAAUUAUUUAUAACUGGAGCUACGAAAUUCCAAAUCAAGUGCCGUUAAUUUUCCCUGAAAAUAGACUCAUAUAUAUUCUAUCCAUAAAAUUUUCAGAAUUUUUUGUUUAGCCAAUAAAUACCAGAUUUUUCUCAAAGUUUCCCAUGUUUCACUGUUUGACUAAUCUGACCACCCUUCAUUACGAAUCAAAUUUCUCAUUUUACAGAAUUCAAAAUAUGUUCUUGUUUAUUUCAUUAGAAACUAGACUCAAUAAGCUUUAAUUACAUAAUUUAUUCAGCUUCUAACUCAUCUUCCACAAUUUAUGGUGAUUUUCCAAAGUCACGUUACUGCUACUGUCCCAAGCAGAUUUAUUACCAAAUCACUCUUUCACACCUAACUUGCAUGCUUGUUAUUUAAACAUGUAUAUCACCAAUCAAUCAUCAGAUAUCUAUGAUUUUACUUAAGUAUAAUCUCCAUUUCAUCAUUUUAAAGCACAACAUGUUAGCUGAUUUUUCCCUUUAACAUCUAAGGCACAUGCAUGCUUAUUUGUUUGGCUCAACUUCACCUAUCUUCCAUUCUUCAUCAAAAGAACAUGAAACAACAACCAUUUCCUUCAUUUUAAUUCAUGACUAAAUGCUCACAACACAACUAAAAAUCAAAAUAUACUUCAACAGUUAAGGUAGAAUCAAGAAGAACUCAUGAACCUCAAAAUAGAAGCAAGGUACCAAGAACUAUUACCUUCAAUAUUCCUCCUCCUAAUGACCAAAUACUCAAGAGCUUUCUCCUCUCCUUUCUCUUCUCUAACUUUCAGCUAUGAUGAACAAAGAUGGACAAAACUUUGUUCUUUUCACCCCUUUUUCUUUUAAUAAAACUUCAUAUUUCAUCCAUUUAAUUCUUUAAUACAAAAGACAUGAAAUUCUUAUCAUGAAACAUUUACCUAACCCAUUAUCAUGGAACAUUUACCUAACCUAUUAUCAUGAAACAUUUACCUAACCCAUUAUCAUGGAACAUUUACCUAACCUAUUAUAAAGGAACAUUUACCUAACCUAUUAUCAAUUUGUAUCAAUUUGUACCAUAAAUUAUGGAUAUCAAGUGUACAUUUUGUCUAUAACAACAUGAUGGCUGGCCACUUCAUGUAAAAUGGGAGGUUUGUCAUGCAAAUCCUCCUAUUUUGCACUCCUAUUUAUUUGGCCACUUCAAUUUAGCCUAUAGCAUUUUCAAACAUUUU
RNAcentral lists this long non-coding RNA (3477 nucleotides) under Gossypium barbadense (sea-island cotton). Its description in RNAcentral is "long non-coding RNA (GBAR_LNC009417)". Lineage: Eukaryota; Viridiplantae; Streptophyta; Magnoliopsida; Malvales; Malvaceae. The record is from RNAcentral.